Molecule: long non-coding RNA, 216 nt
Filed under: Elaeis guineensis (African oil palm)
Lineage: Eukaryota; Viridiplantae; Streptophyta; Magnoliopsida; Arecales; Arecaceae
Description: long non-coding RNA (EGUI_LNC030923)
Source: RNAcentral
AUGGGCAAAAAACUCUUCACAUGGUUAUCGUUCUCUUGUUGCUUUUUUGUUCUGAAAGGGUCAUGCUGCAACUUCUUCCCCUGCUAAGAACUGUACUGGGCUUUCCGGCACUUGACAGGUAUUCAGUUUAAACUGGUUUUAAACGAUUUAAUGGUGGUGCCCAUAUUUGGCUGUUAAUUUACAGUUCUCUGCAGCUAUGUUGCUUUAGAUGUCACU